RNAcentral lists this ribosomal RNA (546 nucleotides) under uncultured marine bacterium. RNAcentral describes it as "bacterial SSU rRNA". It matches the Rfam family "Bacterial small subunit ribosomal RNA", at positions 372 to 932 of the family's 1533-position model. The record is from RNAcentral.
UGGGCGCAAGCCUGAACCAGCCAUGCCGCGUGAGUCAUGAAGGCCUUAGGGUCGUAAAGCUCUUUCGCCACACUUGUAAAUGACAGUAUCUGGUAAAGAAACCCCGGCUAACUCCGUCCCAGCAGACCGCGGUAAUACGGAGGGGGUUAACGUUGUUCGGAAUUACUGGGCGUAAAGCGUCGCGUAGGCGGAUUAGUAAGUUAGAGGUGAAAUCCCCGGGCUCAACCCCGGAACUGCCUUUAAUACUGCUAGUCUUGAGUUCGAGAGAGGUGAGUGGAAUUCCCGAGUGUAGAGGUGAAAAUUCGUAGAUAUUCGGAGGAACACCAGUGGCGAAGGCGGCUCACUGGCUCGAUACUGACGCUGAGGUGCGAAAGUGUGGGGAGCAAACAGGAUUAGAUACCCUGGUACUCCACACCGUAAACGAUGAAUGCCAGUCGUCGGGUAGCAUGCUAUUCCGUGACACACCCAACGGAUUAAGCAUUCGGCCUGGGGAGUACGGUCGCAAGAUUAAAACUCAAAGGAAUUCACGGGCGCCCGCACAAGCGC